Molecule: long non-coding RNA, 1511 nt
Filed under: Populus tremula
Lineage: Eukaryota; Viridiplantae; Streptophyta; Magnoliopsida; Malpighiales; Salicaceae
Description: long non-coding RNA (PTRE_LNC002836)
Source: RNAcentral
CAUGUUAAAUAGUAAAAAGAGCAAAAAAAUAAAACUUGAUAAACACAACAUUGUAACGAUAAAGAAGAACAAAAAGCACGACAAAUAUUGUUUAGCAAUAAAAAGACAAAUAACAAAGCUUAGUCCUAAGAAUUCCCUAGUGGAGUUGUCAUUCUUUCACACCCGAACAUCACGACGACCAUUUAAAAAUGAUCACUCGAUUGGAAAAAAGAACAGAUAUCUGACAUUUUUUUUAGAGGAAAAUGUAUAGUUCAAGGAGUCGCCACCUAGUAUUAUGGUCACUAGGAACCCUAACUAGUCAAUAGAGAUUCUAUGGUACAAGACUGGUUACGCCAAAGAGAAGAUGUUAUCACUCUUUAAGCGUCCUACCUGAGGCAGCUGCAUUGCUGAUUUUGUCUAAAAUUGCUAAGAAUCUGUUCUCUUUUUCCUUUCUUAUUUUUCCUUUAAUGUUCAUGACUCUGGCAUCAAUGAGCAAUUCCUGCGAAUAUUUCCAUCUAUGGAGUUGGUAAAUAUCACGCAAAUCCAAAAAAAAAUUUACAUCUAUGGAGUUGGUAAAUAUACGAUACUCCUAACUCCAGCGUUUGUGAAUAAUUUCGUAAAAAAAAUGAAUUUGAAGAAGAAAUUUUCUAUGCCAUUUUUUUCUUGUUCAUCCUUUAUUAUUAUUUGCUAUUUUUAAAAUGAAAAUAAAAAGGCAUUGCACAACAUAUUUGCAUUUAACAGUAAUAAUCUACAGAUUGAGCACAUAGCUAAAAAAAUACAAAACGCAAUGAAAAAAAAAAAAAUCAAAGUACGAGGGGCCACAAAUAAAACAAUGAAGAUCCCCAAAUAUUUUUGAAAUUUUUUGAUAUAAAAAGGGGCUUGUUUGACCAAAUAUCAACUAGAGUGAGCAUACAAAUUAUGGUCAAGGCAUAAGGCUGUGUUUUGCCAAACUCACCCUUAAUAACAUAAGUAGAGCUGGAUAAAAAAGCCCAGGCCCGACCCAUUUUUUUCUUCCUUUUUUUUUUUUGUAUUUUAGGCCGAUUCCGAUGCAGCCCAUGGGGGCUGGGCAGGACCCAACCAGCCUAGCCUGGUCUCUGGCCCAAGUUAGUGACCCGACUGGCAAAACACACCUGAACUUGUUCACGUGUGUAUGGCACAGUGAGAAGGUAAUUAAUUACCUUCGCACAAUGCUAAAUGCACAAAAGAUUUAAAAAGAAUGAAAAGGGAGAGGAAAGCUUACCCUGUUUGGAAAUUGCUCUGGAGUUGAACAAGUAAAAAGGGAUGGCCACCGCGCAGUGACCCCCCACAUCUGUUUUGUGUGUUCUCUUCUUCUCUAUUUUCCUCUCUCUCGUCCCUUUGUUUUUUUUUCUUGCUCUCUCUGUUUUCCUCCUCUACCGUUCUCUCUGUUUUCUGUCUUUUUUUCUGUUGAUUUUCUCUCCCCUCGUGGCUUUCUUCCCUUCUGCCUUUUAUAGGAUUCCAUGCUGCUUAUCUUCUUAGGACCAUGAUAAGGUCGGGGGACAUUGUGUUUUAGC